Arachis ipaensis is the source of this 3150-nucleotide non-coding RNA. The record is from RefSeq and is a predicted model, not a curated record. Lineage: Eukaryota; Viridiplantae; Streptophyta; Magnoliopsida; Fabales; Fabaceae.
AAGAUGGGUCACUUUACUCCCAAUCCUUCGGUUCACUUUUUUUUCACGUUCUCCCCUUCUCCUUCAAUUAUGAUGUGAUGUCCUCCGCUGUCACCGCCGCCACCGCUCGCGUCGCACGAGCUCCUUCCACCGCUGCUUUCAAUGCGUUUGCUCCUUUCGUCGUCACACGAGCUCUCUCGGCCGUGCUCUUAUCUUACGAGCUCCCUCUGCCGCCGUUCUCGCGCUGCUUCUUCUCUCCUCGCCGGAGGUUUGUCAUCAUCUCUUCGCGUCGCUGUUAGUUCAGUUGAAAAUCAAAGAAUACGAUCGAGGAGAGCUCUUAUGUUUGCAAAUCAGCUGUUACUGCUGCAGAGAACGGAGUUUCUAAAUUCUAAGUAUUUUUGAAACAGGGGAGAUGACACUAACACAACUCCAAAGACAACAACACGUUUAAUUGAUUCUGAUCUUGCGGUUGCUCUUGUCUUUCAACAACAGCACUAUCAUCAUGCCUUUGAUUUAACCUCAAGGUUGGGAAUGGAGAAUUUGUAGUUGUAGACUCCAAUUAUCAAACUAAGCUUAAACAUGAGGAUCAGAAGGUACAUAGAUGGCCAAGAAUGGGAGGGCAUAGAUUCAUAGGAAUGAGAACUUAACAUAAAAAACUGACUAGAAAAUGUGAAGUUACAGCUAUUCUUGUUCUUUAUGGUCUUCCAAGGUAAUUAACAAAAUCAUACAUACACAUAUUGGACAACUUUGUAAUAGUUGUUGACACUAUUCACCUGACACAGGUUACUCAUAGGUGCUAUCUUAGCCCAUAUUUGGGACAUAUGGGGAGGUCAAAGAGGUGACAAUUUAUUUAGCCACAUCUAGAGGGAGAAAAAGAUAAAAGAAAAAUGUGGAUGUGGCUUGAUCUUAUGUCAGCAUGGAUGAAUUAAUCUGUGAUUCAAUUAUUACGUUUGAUGAAGAAUAAUAUUAAUAAUUUGAAGUUUGAGAUUCUUUUGCUCAGCUUUCCAUGUGGAUGGAAUAAUCAAAUUAUAACUAAAUGAGGGAAGGUUAUAAGUCACUUUUAGAAUUUAGAUCCUUCCUCAUAUCCAUUCAGUACUAGAAAUGAUUAUUAUUGUUUGGAAGAAAAGAACGUGUUAAGUACUAGAAAUGACUAUGCUGUUUCUUUUCUUCUGAUUUUUUAAAACAUUUUGAUAUUACCAGACUGAAGAAGAGAGGUUGCAACAGGAACAUGAAAAAAGGGUGAGUGCACAUAAUCUGUUUGUGGAUAUGCAUUUUCAAUUUUACGACACUUUACAUGCAUGUUUCAAUAUUUAGAAAAAUAAUAAAAUUCUAUUCUGGUUAGCACAUAGUGCAUUAUCCUUGAUUUUUUUUAUGAACAACCUUUUUUGAGGGUUUUUUUUGAGGAAUAUAGCAGUAAAGUUAGGGGUGCACAGACCCGGCCCGGCCCGAAGGCCCGGCCCGGUCCCAAACACUUUAGAGGCUAAUUUGGUGUGAUUUCAUCGGGUUUAGGGCCGGGUAAGGGUCUCAAAAAUAGAUAUAUUUUAUGAAGCAAACUGUGGGUAAUGCUUGUGGUACAGUAGGAUUGCUUCAUGCUCUUGGCAACCCCACGUCUGAGAUUAAGCUUGGUAAGUCUUCAGUAGUAGAUGGAAUAGACUUUUAAGACAUCGACCAUUAUUUCUCACUUGGUAAUAUCACUGAUGAAGACAAUUUAUCCUAUUUUAACAAUAUGACUUAAGAAGUUUUGAAUUUGGUUCCUGUGAUUACUGUCAUCAAAAUUUUCAAUCUGGCUCCCCAAUUGCAAAGGUUUCUAAUGGAAAAAGGAAGAAUUUCAACAUUUGAUGGAAAAUGCAAUCGAUCCUAAUAAUCUAUAUUAACAAUUGAAUUUCUCCUCGAUGUAAGGCCAACACAACAGAACCACUGACUAGUCAUAUAAACCUAACAAGAAGCUUUUAAAAUAUAAAGACAAUUUGAAUUUUCCAAUUUAUAAGAAUCUUCAAAUAAUUUUUUUAAGCUUUUAUCCUUUUUUGAUUAUUGAUGAUGUUUUGAUUGUGGUGAUUGUGUUGCUGAAUUCAAAGAAAGGUGAGAGCAGAAGAUAAAAGAUUGCAAGAAGCAAUUCAUUUGAGUACAAUGCUAUAAACUACAGAGCACACAAUGCAUCAUUGUAAGUCUGCUAAGAAGAAGCUACUAUGAUUCUAUGAUAUGAUGUUUGACAAACUUGCAAUUAUAUAGUUUAAGUAUGUCUUCUGCAUUGCAAAUUGCUUUAGUUUAUUUUCCUUUUCAUCUUCUACCCCACUCUCUCUUGAAGUAUUAAAAAUUUUCCUUUUGACAAACUUGCAAUUAUAUGGUUUUAAUUUGCUUUAUUUAGUGUUUGCUAACUCUGUCGACUGCCAUCACUGCGUUGAAAAAUAGCAGUAGAAAUAGGAAACUCUGUCGACUGCCAUCCCUGCCAUCACUGCUUAGUCAAAUGCAAUUCAUCAAAAUUGUACUGUUAUUGUGGAGUUUCUCUUUUUGUUAUAACUUCUUAGCUGAUUCUAUUACACUAAACUUCUAUUAGUUAUACUGCACCAGAUGAAGAGCAAAGUCCAAAGAACUUAAAAUUGUUGUCCUGUUUUGCUCAUGCAAAUUGCCAAUUAGGGGACUGGUGUCUCUUGCCCUCAUCAGCAUAUUCAUCAUCAAUUUCCAUGGAGAAAGGCAUGUCAAAAUUAGAACUUAAUGAUUCUAUUUACAAUGAACUAGAUUCUAAUCCAACAGGAAGUGGAUGUCAUUCAGAAGAAGCUGCUGUUGAGAAAUUUAAUGGGAAUAAGAAUGCUAUGAACCUUGAGAUUCGUUCAAGAGGGAAUGUGGUGGGGAAACUAGUAAGAACAAAGCACCAUAAGGAAAUUACUUUCCCUUUGGUGAUCAACUCUUCUGAAUCAAAACCUAUCAGGUUCAAGAAGAAUUCAUGCACAUAUGGUUGAUGGAUGCUGAUUCACUUCCAUUUUUUGAGAAAGAAUUCAGUUAAUAUUUCUGUAAUACAUGUAAAAUUGUGUAAAAUUUAAUAUGGUUGAACAAUAUACUGAGGAUUAUAGUUGAUAAUACACUUUGUUUACAUUUUGAAUUAUAUUGACUUGCUUGUUUAUAAUAAUUUUCUUUUAGUUUUAUAAUAUGAUGAAUUUGUUUAUUUUUUGUAAU